This is a long non-coding RNA of Equus caballus (horse), 3254 nucleotides long. The record is from Ensembl. NCBI's taxonomy places the organism in Eukaryota, Metazoa, Chordata, Mammalia, Perissodactyla, Equidae.
CCGAGCAGGAUCUAGCGCCCACGGAUCUGAUGUCAGAGGGCGGCCCUGGCAUCGCUCCCUCCUUCCUGCCCACAUGGCAGCGCGGCGGAGCCGGCCGAGAGCAGGGGCCCCAAAGCCCUUGCCUCUCGAAUCACAUCUGUUGGCUUCAUGCUAGGCCUGCACACAGCAGCACCUUCUAAAAAACAGUGUCCUAAAAGAAUAAUGACAGGGAAAAAUAACCAAGAGCUAUCGAGUGAAGAUAGCAGAGAAGCAAAACAUUAUGACCUUGUGUUUACUUUAGACCAAUAAGGAACGAAUUUGGGCCGAGGAAAAAACUGGAAAAACUAACAGGGACUAUCUUUAGAAAUUUAUCAUUCGGCAAAUAUUUAUUGAGCAGCUACUAUUUGUUGGACUCUUCUAGGUGCUGGGUCAUAACAGCCAACCGAUGAAGCCCUUAGGGAUAUAACAUUCAUGAGAGGCAACGGAGUCACGAAGUCCCUGAGGCCCAAAUGCAGAUCCCACCUUCUACUCAGGUGUCUUCUUCGGCUCCUCUCGGCGGUGACGGUUUCUCGGACUUCCCUGGCUUGGGGUGACCUUGAGAGUUUUGAGGGGUACUGGUCAGGUACUGCGUAUUGGAAUUUGCCUCACGUUUUUCUCAUGAUCCAAUGGGACCAUGGGUUUCAAGAGCACAGAGAAUGAAAAAGAAAAACUUACUUUGACAAGUCAUUCUUAUUAAAACAUUGAUGAAAAAGCAACACUUCCUGUAUCUUCCAAAGUGGAACAGAUGCACACCCCGGGCCCCGCAAGGCCUCUCGCAGAUGAGGAAACCGAGGCGCAGAGAGGCAAAGGGAUGUGUCGAAAGCCACACAGCUGGAGCAAGUGGUGGAACUGGCCUGGGAACAUGGGUUGGUGUGUUUUCCCUCCACCCCACAGCGACAUGGUGGGGGUGGGGGUGGGGGUGGGGAGUUGGCAGAGGCAGCCCUUUAAAAACUGCAGUAGGGCCACCACAAGUAAACAGAAGCCUUGACAGCUGUCGGGCCCUCUCUCCAAGCACAAGGCGGAGGCUGGCCCUGUUUCCAGCAGAAGGCCUUGGUCCGGCCGGCUGCCUUGACUCAGAGGACUCAGGCUCGCGUUGCUCCUUUGUGGGCUGGAGGGGCCCCGAGAUCACAGACCCCGGAGUGGGUGUGAGCACCGUCUCUGCACCCAGAAGCUGAGAUCAGCUUUUGGGCUGCUCUUUCUUCAGUCAUUUACUGGUUUCCCAUGAUUAUAAUAACUACCCCUGCUGAGCUUUAUAGUUCACAAAGUACUUUCACAAACACUCUUUCAUUUACUCCUCACAUCAGCCCUGUGAUGAGGAGUUAAUAUGACCAUUUUAUGGAAACAGAAACUGGAGUUCAGGGAGGGAGGUUCCGGGAAUGGCCUCAGAUCAGAAGGCCAGCAGUGGCCCUCACGCCAGCAUUCCCGAGCCCCGGGCCAGACCCGGCUCCUUCCUUCCACGGGGCAGCCUUCUCAGAGGAGUGCGGUGGCUUCUGGAGGGGCCGGCCUAUCUCAGUCUGCCAGCAGUGACCAGACAAUCUGCUCUCAUCAUCUGGGAGCUGGGUGAAGACCCCUCCCCACCCUCACCUCCUGCAAAUAUUGUGUGUUGGGGGUGGGGGGGACACAAAGAAGUAGAAGUGACUGCUGAGUGAGGGAGCUGGAGAGAGUACUGGGGAGGGGUCCCCCGCUGCCUUGGCCUUGGGCCCCGCAGAUGCAUGGAAGGGACCAGCAGUUCCUGGAACACGAGCCCAUCGCCGGGGUGCCCAGUGCCAGCUGUUGCCAUCUGCUUGUGGCAAAACGAGAAAAAUAGGACAAUACAGUGAAGUUUUCCUAAAGCUAGACCUACUCGAUCUGAAGUACGGCCCUUUCCCUGGAGCUGUGUAUUUUCAGGGUCUGUGCAUGUGUGUGUUUAAAAAGGACCUUUUCUUUGACAUUUUCUUUAAUGUCCUUAACCGAGCAAAAUAAAAGACUAGUGACCAUGUCAGAUCCUAAAUCGGCUUUUUGGAAAUGUUAGUGACUAAGGAAUCCGAAUGCCUGGGAAUCACGGAGCUGGCCCUGAUUCGGUGAGCCCUGGCACGGAGGACUUGUUUUUGAAUUCAGGGAUGAUCUCUGAACAGCUGGAAAAACCCCGGGGGAGGAGAGGUUGGGGUUCCUGCCUGGACUCAGCCCCUCAGCCCUGGAUCCCCAGGAAACCUGAGCAGAGGGAACAUUAGAGUCACUGCACAGGGAAUUCUGAGAAAGGCCUCGGGCUGAUUCUCCGUGCUGCACCCCCUCAGCCUCUUCUCUGACCCCCAGCCAGAGGGAAUGUACCCUCCAACCUCAGCCCUGCCUCCCCCAGCCCCCCAAGGCUGGAUCCAAAAUAGCCCAGGCCCCGGAGGAGACGUCAUGGGUCAGACUGGCUGCCUGCCCUCAGAGAGGGCAUGUCGGUAAUGCCCAAGGCCAAAUAUAGAGGGACACCAGACACCGCUGGGCCACCCAGGGCCUGGGGAGCCCGGCUGGCAUCUCAGGGCCUCCCCCACCCUCAUCCCUUCCCAGCCCUGCACCCCCAACCCGGGCUCCGGAGGCCAGCGCCUCCUGGCCAGGCCCACCCAGCCAGGACAUGUCCCAGCAAGCCCAGAGCCGAGCUGGAGGCUGGCCCGACGGGGUGCUGGGCCUGGGCUGGGCCUGGGCGUGGGGACACCCCUCCAUCUGGGGGUCUCAAAGCACUUUUAUAAGCGUCACUUCCCACAGGCUGCUGCCGAGAUCAGGAGGCCAAGAGGACCUGGUGUCUCCGGGGGGCCGGCUCCUGCCUCUGUUCCUCCCAGCUCGGGAAGGAGACCAGGCCGUAAACCUGCGGCGUGGGAGGCUUGGGAGGCGGGGGGCGGGCAGGCGGCCAGGUCUAACCCGAGUGAACUCCCGGUGGAAUCGAACUGCAAAUAAUGAGUCCUGAUUGCCGAGGUGGCCUCCACCCGCCACUCCCGGGAAUUAAAAGUCAAAGGGCAGAGCUGCUGACGCAAAUGUCAAGGGAGACACGCGGUGUGGAACAGCUGGGAUCCUGCUCCCCGGCCUGCCGCCCAAGGUCGCCGCCCCCAGCGCCCUGGAUCCGGCGUCCCCCAGGCUGGGCCCCGAGAGGCCCCAGUUCCCCAGGCGCAGCAGGGAAGGGGGCUCGGCUUCCUCUCCCUCCUCCUGGUUCUAAGGUCAACAGAACUCGAUUGGAGGAGGUUCAUCAGAAAUCCCCGUGCAACGGCGUUGCCGGACGC